This is a non-coding RNA of Biomphalaria pfeifferi, 2235 nucleotides long. The record is from the annotation of a GenBank genome assembly. NCBI's taxonomy places the organism in Eukaryota, Metazoa, Mollusca, Gastropoda, Planorbidae.
AGAAAAUUCAAGUCUUUAUUCUCUUUUCAUGCUAUCAAAAUUUACUGAUGGAAAAUCAGAAUAUAGUUUUUUACAAAAGUAUUGCUUCAUUUAGUUAAAAUCUUUUAUUUUUUUAAAUAACAUUUCAAAACUUUUAAGUCUUCAUAAAAAUGACUAAUGAUUUAUAGGAGCUAUCUGAAACAUGAUGACUUUUGAACUAUAGAAAUAAUACACUAAGCAUGAUAAAUAUUGGCAACAAAUUGUAUGAGUCACUUUGUGACAGUAAAUUAAAGUUAACAAAAAACAUUAACUCAAAAUCUCCAAUACAACAAAACAAAGUAAUAAAGUGUCUAGCAAGAAAUAAAAAAGUUUUGACAGAAAAUAAAAGGCACAGAACAAAAUGAUCAUAUGAUGAACUGAUUUCUUUUACGAAUGUCUCUUUCUAUUAAAACAUAAUUAUUAAUUAGAUUAUUAUUUAAUUUUAUAUAUAGCUAGAAGGUUUAAAACAAAAUGGUGCUCAAACUAGACUUCAUAAUUUUAAGAAGAGAAAACACAUGUUCUAGAAGCUAAAAAUAGGAACUAGUGAGAUCUCAUCUAUUGAAAUAUCAGCAGAGAAUGCCAAGCAUGUCCUUCAAAGCUGCAUGCUCUAUCAAGAGGACGAAAAAAUCACUGGCCCCAAAAUUCCCCUAUAAAACAAAAAUUAUAAGGAGAGCUGCCAGAUCUAGAAACCCUGUGUAGUUCAUCACAGAUAUAGGACUGCUUGUCUGAACCCUCUGACAUAUACAUGAGAAUGAAAAAGAAGUAGAUAACUUCAAGAAAAAUACUGACUCAAACAACUUAAUGUGAAAUGAAAAAUUUCUUUUUUCUAGAUUUAUUUUCCACUUUUCUUCAGUUUUAAUCUUGGUAUUAGCUUAUUAUUUUAAACUUGUGCAUUAAGUUCUGUUUUAUUUGUUAAGCUUUUAAAAAUGCCUUGAGGUUAUAAAAGAUUUAGCAUGUUGUUUUUUUUUAUAUGUUCUUUUAAGACUCUACAUUUUUAAAUUUACAAUUUAUUUGCUCUAAAAGUAAAACUUUCUAGCCAGAUUUUAUAUUGCACUGAUCUCAUUCUUAAUUUUAUCCAACAAGGCAAGUUUCCAUAAUCUCAUAACCCUUCCUCUCUUACAGUCCUAGCUCUAGCUAAUACCCAGGACAUUAUCUUCAAUUAUGUAAAGGCAUUUUAAUUAAAAAAAAAAUAAAUGAAAAUAUCUUAAUUAUAAAUAUACUCUAUAACAAAGGGAGCCUAACUGAUUGAUACAAAAUGUCAUUAAUAAUUAUUUGAAUUUUUUUUUUAGAUCAUUCUAUUUGUUGUCCAAAUCUGUAACAAGGAAGAUGAAUAAACUAUAAAAAAAAAUCAAAUCUAAUUUAAUUAUGAAAUGUAUCUAGAUCUAUAAAGAACACAUUUGUUUUUACAAUUCACAAGUACUAAGGCUAAUUCAUCAUCAUAUGUUGCUGUUUUAUUUUUGCAUUUAAGCUUCAGUAUUAGCUUUUAUUGUAAAACACUAAUAAAACAUAAUGCAUAAACAUUUGGUUUGAACUGAUCUGAAAGAAGGCUCAAUGACUAUUCAUUAAAUAUGAAAAUUAGUAUUGAAAUUGUAUCAAAUGAUCUGAAAAAUAUUGCUAGCCAAUAUGAUAGUAUACACAAAAAGAAGUUUGUUCAAUUCAUUUAAAAAUGGAACAAAAAUUACAAAUAUUGCUAAAUAUUUAUUAUUAUGAAAAAAUUUUGUAUCCAAAAAAAAAAAAUAUUAAAAAUAUGAGUUUUUCUUUUCUUUAUACAAAUGAUAGUUAAUAAUGCCAAAUAUGAUGAUUUCUGGUGUUAAAGACUAAAAACUGGUUUCUUUUUACUUUUCAUUUACGAAAGUAAAAAUAUGUUUUUACAAAAAGCAGUAAAUGUGUUGUUUAAAAAAAAAGAUUUUUUUGUGAAUGGAACUGAAACAAAAAAAAAAUAAACUGAGAAACUGAUCUUUAGAUUUCAAUAAAUGUAUAACCUGUGAAUAUAAUUUUUAUAAAUAUUAUAGAGUCAUACCAAAUUUUUCAAUAUUACAUAUCGAUUCUGAAAAAUGUAAAAAAGGUAAACAAUUAAUUAUAAAGAUAUUAACCAAAAUGAUCACAACGAAAAUAUCACAUGACUAUUUGUCCUCACACAUACACCCAAAUAGUGCCUCCCAGUACAAAUAAAUUCACAAAAAUGUUAGUUCUUACAAAAAAAAAAGACAUAUUCUU